CUGCAGAUGUUCCUCUGAUUGUUGGUGGGACUCUGGUCAUCACGGUUGUCCUGUUCUCUGCAGCGCUGCUGGUUUCCUGCAGGAGAAGAUCUCUGAGAGCUGCUCUUAAAAACCCAGGAGCUGUUGCUCAAUCUACAGACGAGAACAGAGGAUGUUCAUCUGCUUCAAACCUUGAGAAAGCCACCAAUGUUAACUACACCAAUGAGGACCCAAUCUACCAGAACCUCAGUGCUGCCACCAGAGACCAGAACCAGAUCUACUUUAUCAUCCAAAAAUGAAAAUAAGAUCCUGGAUUCAGUUUCUGAGCCUCACAAUUCAAGGUACAUAGCCAUGUUAUAUGCUUAUAUAAAACACCAAAAAAUAUGAUGAUCACGUUAAAAUAAAGUCAUAUACAUCAAGCCUUCAUUCUGAUAAUGUUUUGAUGGUCUUUUUUGAGGCUAAAUAGAAUCCAGCGCUGGGCGCUGUUAGCAGAUAUAAACAGACGUGGCG
This is a long non-coding RNA of Fundulus heteroclitus (mummichog), 489 nucleotides long. RefSeq lists it as uncharacterized. NCBI's taxonomy places the organism in Eukaryota, Metazoa, Chordata, Actinopteri, Cyprinodontiformes, Fundulidae. The transcript is spliced from 3 exons. The record is from RefSeq and is a predicted model, not a curated record.